AAAAUCCUCUCUCUCUCAUAAUCCUCAUUAUCCAAGUCUAGAGCCAUUUGUAAUUUGUUUUGAAGAUCAAAUGGCCAUGUCCAAGACAUUUACAAUUUGCAUUGUUGCUCUCUUGGUGUGCUCGAUUUGUAGUGAAACGACGAAUGCAAAAGGUAUCAGUAAUGGGGCAAUACGUCGUGAUCAGCCAGGUGGUUGCAGAGAGUCACGGUGCAUGCCUCCACCAUCCAACUCUUAUAACAGAGGUUGUGAGAAAGGGAAGGAGUGCAGAGGUGGUGGUCGUAAAUUAAAAUAAGUCUUCCGGAGCACAACAUAUAACCAAGAAGGGGACACACCAAGAAAUGGAGCUUAAAGCACUAAAUAGCGAUGCCCAUUCUUUUACAUAAAUAUAUUUAUUAUACUACUCUUGAUCUAACCAUAUUGUGAACAUGAUGUAAUAAAGAACAACAUUAUUCAAUCAGUUUCUAAAGAGUUCAACGUGUUGGUAUUAAAAGGGUUUUCAAAAUUUUAUUGUUUUCAAUUUUGAAUUAAAUAUUAAUUUUGUUGACCAAAUGCUUCUUUAUUUUUUGUGGG
RNAcentral lists this long non-coding RNA (570 nucleotides) under Prunus dulcis (almond). RNAcentral's name for it is "sRNA ncRNA". Lineage: Eukaryota; Viridiplantae; Streptophyta; Magnoliopsida; Rosales; Rosaceae. The record is from RNAcentral.